This 497-nucleotide ribosomal RNA is filed under the name uncultured bacterium. Its description in RNAcentral is "partial 16S ribosomal RNA". It matches the Rfam family "Bacterial small subunit ribosomal RNA", at positions 28 to 507 of the family's 1533-position model. The record is from RNAcentral.
GAUGAACGCUGGCGGCGUGCCUAAUACAUGCAAGUCGAGCGAACAGACGAGGAGCUUGCUCCUUUGACGUUAGCGGCGGACGGGUGAGUAACACGUGGAUAACCUACCUAUAAGACUGGGAUAACUUCGGGAAACCGGAGCUAAUACCGGAUAACAUUUUGAACCGCAUGGUUCAACAGUGAAAGACGGUCUUGCUGUCACUUAUAGAUGGAUCCGCGCCGCAUUAGCUAGUUGGUAAGGUAACGGCUUACCAAGGCAACGAUGCAUAGCCGACCUGAGAGGGUGAUCGGCCACACUGGAACUGAGACACGGUCCAGACUCCUACGGGAGGCAGCAGUAGGGAAUCUUCCGCAAUGGGCGAAAGCCUGACGGAGCAACGCCGCGUGAGUGAAGAAGGUCUUCGGAUCGUAAAACUCUGUUAUUAGGGAAGAACAAAUGUGUAAGUAACUAUGCACGUCUUGACGGUACCUAAUCAGAAAGCCACGGCUAACUACGUG